This 74-nucleotide transfer RNA is filed under the name Mycobacteroides chelonae. RNAcentral's name for it is "(Mycobacterium chelonae corrig. Bergey et al. 1923 (Approved Lists 1980) emend. Kim et al. 2017) tRNA-Lys". The record is from RNAcentral. Lineage: Bacteria; Bacillati; Actinomycetota; Actinomycetes; Mycobacteriales; Mycobacteriaceae.
GGGAGUCGCGUUCAGCGACGCGGGGCGGCCUCUUAAGCAGGGUGUCCGGGGUUCGAUUCCCCGCUGGCCCUCCA